ACGUGUCCUGUAGUGGGGGAUAGCCCGGCGAAAGCCGGAUUAAUACCGCAUACGAUCUACGGAAGAAAGCGGGGGAUCCUUCGGGACCUCGCGCUAGAGGGGCGGCCGAUGGCAGAUUAGCUAGUUGGUGGGGUAAAGGCCUACCAAGGCGACGAUCUGUAGCUGGUCUGAGAGGACGACCAGCCACACUGGGACUGAGACACGGCCCACACUCCUACGGGAGGCAGCAGUGGGGAAUUUUGGACAAUGGGGGCAACCCUGAUCCAGCAAUGCCGCGUGUGUGAAGAAGGCCUUCGGGUUGUAAAGCACUUUUGUCCGGAAAGAAAACCUCUUGGUUAAUACCUGAGGGGGAUGACGGUACCGGAAGAAUAAGCACCGGCUAACUACGUGCCAGCAGCCGCGGUAAUACGUAGGGUGCGAGCGUUAAUCGGAAUUACUGGGCGUAAAGCGUGCGCAGGCGGUCUGUUAAGACCGAUGUGAAAUCCCCGGGCUUAACCUGGGAACUGCAUUGGUGACUGGCAGGCUUUGAGUGUGGCAGAGGGAGGUAGAAUUCCACGUGUAGCAGUGAAAUGCGUAGAGAUGUGGAGGAAUACCGAUGGCGAAGGC
RNAcentral lists this ribosomal RNA (606 nucleotides) under Burkholderiaceae bacterium FMAC6f. Its description in RNAcentral is "bacterial SSU rRNA". It matches the Rfam family "Bacterial small subunit ribosomal RNA", at positions 124 to 722 of the family's 1533-position model. The record is from RNAcentral. Lineage: Bacteria; Pseudomonadati; Pseudomonadota; Betaproteobacteria; Burkholderiales; Burkholderiaceae.